CAUCACUCCUAGCUGGUAAGUUGCCUGAUGAUCCUUUUCCUUGAUUUCUUCAAACUGUUCUAAUGCUUCUUCAUACCAUCCCUGUAAGCUCCCAGGAAAUACUGAAUUAUUUUCAUUAUUACCUUAAAGUAAUCCCAAAUACUUAGUUCCCACCUAAAUCUAGCUAGCAGCACCAAAUAAAACAAAAGACAGCAACAAAUUUAUGGAAUUUGCAAGUAAGCUAUUGACAACAAUCAACACAGUAUAAAAUCAAUAAAAUAAACCUAAAUAUGGCAACUGAGGGAACUGACCAGGAGGAACCUGGGUCAGACUCUCUUUGGCUUUCACUCUUACUCUUGGCUAUUGCCAAACCACUCUCUAAAUGAUAGCCUAGCUCUCUGCUCAUUCCAGCCUGCCAUAUCACCCGCUACUCCUGGAGUCUGAGAAACUUCAGAGCUGGGGCCAAAGACUCUGAGAAAAGAUAAACAUCAGGAUAUCCGCUACUACUAAAUAUCCACUAUGAUAUGGCUCUUCCAGUUUUGCCAUUUUCUAGCUAGGGAGAAGACACAGAAAAACAAAUAUGUGAUUCUCCAAAAUUAUCUUUCUCCCAUACUUCCUAUAAAAACCUACGUGUCAUAUGUCACUCAUUUAAGGCUCCUCAGCGUUAUAGGAUAUAAUAACAAAUAUGAUGAAGUGUAAGGAACAAAAAUGGGGCUUAUGUCUUAAUCCACCAUGGAAAAUGCCUUACGCUAAAGAAUAAAUCAUUUGUAACAGUGGAAAGAGAGUCUCUGAGUUGGAAGGUCAUUACUAGGAAGAGCAGACCAAAGAAAAGCAACUUUUGGAAAACACAGGAACAAUUGAAUUUCUCUUUUCAUAAACUGUAAUUAAUCAACAAACUGAUAAAAUUAAUAAAAACUGUACCAAAAUGCUAACAAAUAUUUAUCUUAAAGAACACAUAACAAUGAGUAAAUGACUGAGUUGUAAAGAUUCAUUCUGCUUUCUGGCUAAUGUUUGGCCAACAUAUAAGAGGGCUGGAAAACUUAGAAUACUCUAUACAGAGGAAGAGAAAGGAAGUCCUUUUAGUUUUUCAUGAUUUUAAAUACCAUAUACAUGCUGGAAAAUCUCAGAUAUGUACUUUCAACUCAGACUUCUCCUUUGAGAUCUAGAGUCUUACAUGUAGUUUCUACUUUGAAACAUGUAUACUUGGAUGACUAAGGGGAAUCUCAAACAUAAAAUGUCCAAAAACUGAACUCCUGAUGGUUCCCUCAAAACUCACUCCUCCCCACUUCUCUAUUUUUCAGUCCAUGAUGCCAUUACUUGUAUCUCCAAAAUAAAUCCAGGACCCAGCUCCACUGCUGGGUCAAGAUCACCAUCCUCUCUUGCCCCAACUAGUAUAAUUUUCCCCUAAACUGGUCGUGGUUCUAUGCUUCCCUUCCAAUCCAUUCAUCACAGUCUCAAAACACUUCAAUGGCUUCUCACUACAUUUUAAACAAGGCUUAUCUAGAGCCAUUCUCUGCCUUGCUGACUAUGACAUUGGUCUCUUAAUUCCUAGAGCUCACCAAACUCUUCCUCAUCUCAGAAACGUUGCAUUUGUUCUCCCUUCUACCUGGAAUGCACUUCCCUAUGGCUGUUUGCAUUGCCUGUUUCCUUGUCUUCAAGUUUUAGUUUCAACAACAGAUGAGGAAACUGAGGCACCAAGAGGUUAAGCAUUUGUGCCCAAGGAUACAGUUACCAAGCAAUGGAACCGUAUUUGAACCUAUGCCCAAAGCUGAAAGAUCAUUCUCUGAACCAUUACGCUACGUGAUCCUCACAGUGACAGGUGCAUUAUGAGUCCUCAACAAAUAUUUGUUGCCAGAAUGAAUGAAGGAGCCAUCAAAAGAUAAAAGGGUGUCCUAAAGUCCUGAAAGUAAAAUCAGGAUCAGGAUCUCAUUAUGAAACUUCUUCACUGAUGAUUUGCUACCAGAAUUUUCGGGCUUCCCUGGUGGCGCAGUGGUUGAAAGU
Molecule: long non-coding RNA, 1980 nt
Organism: Balaenoptera musculus (blue whale)
Lineage: Eukaryota; Metazoa; Chordata; Mammalia; Artiodactyla; Balaenopteridae
Exons: 4
Source: RefSeq, a predicted model, not a curated record